GACGAAGUAUCCCGAAGCCCCUCCGACGUCGAAUCGGUACUUUUCUCCAGGGGUAAGGGGUUUCGUGAUGUGAUCGGUAACUUUGUUUGACUUCAGUUCCGAGAAAUCCUAGAGUCGUCGACGGAGAGGAGUCUAGGUUCGUACGCUCGGAUCGAGAUGAUGUAGAUUCAACGGUCGUGAUCACUCUAUCACCUGCUUCUGGUAGGCUUCACGGUCCGCAAAUUCCAGUUCUUAAAAUAACCACGACAACCACCCAAAUAAACUUCCCCAAGACGGAACCAACGUCAUCAGAAAGACUCCUUUUUUUUAUUUUUUAUUUUUUGUGGACACCUGGGGAGGGAGCUACCUGGAUUUGUAUUGUUUUCUUCCAAUUUUUAUACAUCCAUCUCUCUCCAAUUGGAGUUUGGUUUGUUUGGGAUUGGGGGGCUAUCUGGUUCCAAAAGCCUUCCAGAGCUGCAAGGAUGGGUCAUCACCAUCACCACCACCACCACCAUGACCGUAAGAGUGAUCCCUUCUUGGCCUGCUGUUGCUGCCCCUGCUAUCUUGUUGCCUCUUUUUUAAGGGGGAUUGGGAGGUGCCUGUUUGUGACCUGCUACCCCUUCUUGCAGUGCUUUGGAUUGGAUGAAUGCCGGCAUCGCCACCACCAUCACCACCACAGUCAUUUUGGUUGAUUUUAUCUGGCAAUUUAGUCUAACCAGCCAUAGAUUUGUUACUAAGCUUUAAAUGCUCCAGAAGCUCGGUCUAAUGUUGUGAUCAGGCUUCUUGUGUGUUGAUGAAAUGGGAUCACAAGAGCUGUUAAUUUGGUCGAUAAUUCAAUAAGAAGUGAUUCAUGUUUCUUCUUCUGUUUUC
Molecule: long non-coding RNA, 849 nt
Organism: Elaeis guineensis (African oil palm)
Lineage: Eukaryota; Viridiplantae; Streptophyta; Magnoliopsida; Arecales; Arecaceae
Source: RefSeq, a predicted model, not a curated record